RNAcentral lists this transfer RNA (56 nucleotides) under Tigriopus californicus. Its description in RNAcentral is "tRNA-Glu". Lineage: Eukaryota; Metazoa; Arthropoda; Copepoda; Harpacticoida; Harpacticidae. The record is from RNAcentral.
GUUUUUAUGGUGUAAUUAACAUAUUGAAUUUUCUUUUCAAAGAUUUAUUAAAAAUU